GACGAACGCUGGCGGCGUGCUUAACACAUGCAAGUCGAACGGAAAGGCCCUGCUUUUGUGGGGUGCUCGAGUGGCGAACGGGUGAGUAACACGUGAGUAACCUGCCCUUGACUUUGGGAUAACUUCAGGAAACUGGGGCUAAUACCUGAUAGGAUCUCCUGCUGCAUGGUGGGGGUUGGAAAGUUUCGGCGGUUGGGGAUGGACUCGCGGCUUAUCAGCUUGUUGUUGGGGUAGUGGCUUACCAAGGCUUUGACGGGUAGCCGGCCUGAGAGGGUGACCGGCCAAAUUGGGAAUGAGAUAGGGCCCAGACUCCUACGGGAGGCAGCAGUGGGGAAUAUUGCACAAUGGGCGGAAGCCUGAUGCAGCAACGCCGCGUGCGGGAUGACGGCCUUCGGGUUGUAAACCGCUUUCGCCUGUGACGAAGCGUGAGUGACGGUAAUGGGUAAAGAAGCACCGGCUAACUACGUG
Molecule: ribosomal RNA, 468 nt
Filed under: uncultured bacterium
Lineage: Bacteria
Description: partial 16S ribosomal RNA
Rfam family: Bacterial small subunit ribosomal RNA
Source: RNAcentral